AUGUUCUGGGCCGCACGCGCGCUGCACUGAUGCGAUCAACGAGCCUAGCCUUGGCCGAGAGGUCCGGGUAAUCUUGCAAACCGCAUCGUGAUGGGGAUAGAUUAUUGCAAUUAUUAAUCUUCAACGAGGAAUGCCUAGUAAGCGCGAGUCAUCAGCUCGCGUUGAUUACGUCCCUGCCCUUUGUACACACCGCCCGUCGCUCCUACCGAUUGGGUGUGCUGGUGAAGCGUUCGGAUCGGUGGCUCCAAGCGGUUCGCCGCCGGGGGCAACCGAGAAGUUCGUUAAACCCUCCCACCUAGAGGAAGGAGAAGUCGUAACAAGGUUUCCGUAGGUGAACCUGCGGAAGGAUC
This 350-nucleotide ribosomal RNA is filed under the name Elliptochloris marina. Its description in RNAcentral is "SSU rRNA". It matches the Rfam family "Eukaryotic small subunit ribosomal RNA", at positions 1477 to 1827 of the family's 1831-position model. Lineage: Eukaryota; Viridiplantae; Chlorophyta; Trebouxiophyceae. The record is from RNAcentral.